This 217-nucleotide ribosomal RNA is filed under the name Campeiostachys nutans. RNAcentral's name for it is "Elymus nutans partial small subunit ribosomal RNA". The stretch from base 47 to 217 matches the Rfam family "Eukaryotic small subunit ribosomal RNA", at positions 692 to 864 of the family's 1831-position model. The record is from RNAcentral. Lineage: Eukaryota; Viridiplantae; Streptophyta; Magnoliopsida; Poales; Poaceae.
GGAUUUGUCGGUUGGUCGGGCUUCACUGUCCGCACUGGCCUGAUGGAUUCCUACCUUCUGAAGAACCGCGAUGUCAUUAAUUUGGUGUCGUGGGGAAUCAGGACUGUUACUUUGAAAAAAUUAGAGUGUUUAAAGCAGGCUUACGCUUGAAUACAUUAGCAUGGAAUAAUGAAAUAGGACGUUUGAUUCUAUUUUGUUGGUUUCUAGGAUUGACGUA